UACGUAGGUGGCAAGCGUUGUCCGGAUUUACUGGGCGUAAAGCGCGCGCAGGCGGAUGGUUAAGUAGGAAGUGAAAGGUUGGAGCUCAACUCCAACAUUGCUCCCUAUACUGGCCGUCUUGAGUCCCGGAGAGGAAAGCGGAACGACACGUGGAGCGGUGAAAUGCGUUGAUAUGUGUCGGAACACCAAUGGCGAAGGCAGCUUUCUGGACGGGUACUGACGCUCAGGCGCGAAAGCCGAGGUAGCGAAC
Molecule: ribosomal RNA, 250 nt
Filed under: uncultured bacterium
Lineage: Bacteria
Description: partial 16S ribosomal RNA
Rfam family: Bacterial small subunit ribosomal RNA
Source: RNAcentral